The sequence is a regulatory RNA element, 103 nucleotides long. It matches the Rfam family "mraW RNA". The record is from Rfam.
AGGGGCCGCCCGGAUGGACCUCUAUCCGGACCGGGGUUCUGGUGUACUUCCCCGACAUCAGAGCGCCGGCCCGGGUGGGGCUCCAUGCGGACGACCCGCGGGG